RNAcentral lists this ribosomal RNA (519 nucleotides) under uncultured Glomeromycotina. Its description in RNAcentral is "SSU rRNA". It matches the Rfam family "Eukaryotic small subunit ribosomal RNA", at positions 569 to 1089 of the family's 1831-position model. Lineage: Eukaryota; Fungi; Glomeromycota. The record is from RNAcentral.
AGCAGCCGCGGUAAUUCCAGCUCCAAUAGCGUAUAUUAAAGUUGUUGCAGUUAAAAAGCUCGUAGUUGAAUUUCGGGAUCAAUAUGUUGGUCGUGCCUCGGUACGUACUGGCAUCGUUGGUUUCUACCUUCUGACGAACCAUGAUGUCAUUAAUUUGGUGUCUUGGGGAAUCAGGACUGUUACUUUAGAAAAAUUAGAGUGUUUAAAGCAGGCUCACGCUUGAAUACAUUAGCAUGGAAUAAUGAAAUAGGACGUUUGAUUCUAUUUUGUUGGUUUCUAGGAUCGACGUAAUGAUUAAUAGGGAUAGUUGGGGGCAUUAGUAUUCAAUUGUCAGAGGUGAAAUUCUUGGAUUUAUUGAAGACUAACUACUGCGAAAGCAUUUGCCAAGGAUGUUUUCAUUAAUCAAGAACGAAAGUUAGGGGAUCGAAGACGAUCAGAUACCGUCGUAGUCUUAACCAUAAACUAUGCCGACUAGGGAUCGGAUGAUGUUAAUUUUUAAUGACUCAUUCGGCGUACCCG